UUCAUACCGGAAGGAGAAACAAAUAUUACGCACUGCAUUGUUUGGUGAACGCGCAGAUUCAGCUGUUUAUAUAUCAAUCAUUAUGGCGACUAAGUUAGGGGAAGCUAAAUCUAAGUCUAGAUAUACAGAUGUACACACAAUUUUAGAAUAAAUUGAUUGGGAAGGUGAGACAGAGAUUGUUGUUGGACGAUUAAUUUUGCGAUUGUGGAGGAAUAUUUUUUGAACGGGAGAGAACAUUGUUUUGGACUGCCCUAGGACCAUGUGUCAGGACUACCUGGCAUGAUGACUUCUUGCUGUCCCCAGUCCACCUGGCCUUGCCGCUGUUCCAGUUUCAACUGUUCUGCCUGCGGCUAUGGAACCCUAAACUGUUCAUUUUUACUCUUGAGGUGCUGUCCUGUUGCACCCUCUACAACCACUGAUCUCCACCCGGCACAGCCAGAAGAGGACUGGCCACCCCUCAUAGCCUGGUUCCUCUCUAGGUUUCUUCCUAGGUUUUUGCCUUUCUAGGGAGUUUUUCCUAGCCACCGUGCUUCUACACUUGCAUUGCUUGCUGUUUGGGGUUUUAGGCUGGGGCUGUAUAAAUAGAUUUGAUAUAGGACUGAGGGUCUUCCAAAUAUUGAAAGUGUGUAAAUAGUUACCCAUGUUAUUUUGUAAAUGUAUAUAUAUAUUUUUUUUCAUACACUGCUAAAAAAAUAAUAAAAGGGAACACUUAAACAACGUAAUGUAACUCCAAGUCAAUCACACUUCUGUGAUAUCAAACUGUCCACUGAUUGACAAUAAAUUUCACAUUCUGUUGUGCAAAUGGAAUAGACAACAGGUGGAAAUUAUAGGCAAUUAGCAAGACACCCCCAAUAAAGGAGUGGUUCUGCAGGUGGGGACCACAGACCACUUCUCAGGUCCUAUGCUUCCUGGUUGAUGCUUUGGUCACUUUUGAAUGCUGGCGGUGCUUUCACUCUAGUGGUAGCAUGAGACAGAGUCUACAACCCACACAAGUGGCUCAGGUAGUGCAGCUUAUCCAGGAUGACACAUCAAUGCGAGCUGUGGCAAGAAGGUUUGCUGUGUCUGUCAGCGUAGUUUCCAGAGCAUGGAGGCGCUACCAGGAAACAGGCCAGUACAUCAAGAGACGUGGAGGAGGCCGUAGGAGGGCAACAACCCAGCAGCAGGACCGCUACCUCCGCCUUUGUGCAAGGAGGAGAACUGCCAGAGCCCUGCAAAAUGACCUCCAGCAGGCCACAAAUGUGCAUGUGUCUGCUCAAACGGUCAGAAACAGACUCCAUGAGGGUGUUAUGAGGGCCCGAUGUCUACACGUGGGGGUUGUGCUUACAGUCCAACACCGUGCAGGAAGUUUGGCAUUUGCCAGAGAACACCAAGAUUAGCAAAUUCGCCACUGGCGCCCUGUGCUCUUCCCAGAUGAAAGCAGGUUCAUACCGAGCACGUGACAGAGUCUGGAGACGCCGUGGAGAACAUUCUGCUGCCUGCAACAUCCUCCAGCAUGACCGGUUUGGCGGUGGGUCAGUCAUUGUGUGGGGUGGCUUUUCUUUGGGGGGCCGCACAGCCCUCCAUGUGCUCGCCAGAGGUAGGCGGACUGCCAUUAGGUACCGAGAUGAGAUCCUCAGACCCCUUGUGAGACCAUAUGCUAGUGCGGUUGGCCCUGGGUUCCUCCUAAUGCAAGACAAUGCUAGACCUCAUGUGGCGGCAGUUCCUGCAAGAGGAAGGCAUUGAUGCUAUGGACUGGCCCGCCCGUUCCCCAGACCUGAAUCCAAUUGAGCACAUCUGGGACAUCAUGUCUCACUCCAUCCACCAACAGACUGUCCAGGAGUUGGGGGAUGCUUUAGUCCAGGUCUGGGAGGAGAACCCUCAGGAGACCAUCCACCACCUCAUCAGGAGCAUGACCAGGCGUUGUAGGGAGGUCAUAGAGGCACGUGGAGGCCACACACACUACUGAGCCUCAUUUUGACUUGGUUUAAGGACAUUACAUCAAAGUUGGAUCAGCCUGUAGUGUGGUUUUCCACUUUAAUUUUGAGUGUGACUCCAAAUCCAGACCUCCAUGGGUCAAUAAAUUUGAUUUCCAUUGAUAAUUUGUGUGAUUUGUUCUAAGCACAUUCAACUAUGUAAAGAAAAACGUAUUUAAUAAGAAUAUUUAAUUCAUCCAGAUCUAGGAUGUGUUAUUUUAGUGUUCCCUUUAUUUUUUUGAGCAGUGUAUAUUUUUUAAUCAAUAAUUAUUAUUUUUCCCAUUUUUUUUUCUCCACCAAUUUGCCCACUUGGGUACAUUUGGGCUACUUGUGUGGGACACCUGGGUGACUUCAUGAUAAAUGUCAUGUAGCACACUCUUUUUGGAAGUUAUCAUUCUGAAACUUUGCACAAGUACUGUUGCCCUCUUAUAAUUUUUCACUGAAAUUGUCCCCAUCAUCCUAUCUGAAUGUUUGUUAUAUCUUGUUCAUUUUAAAGAUAGAAAAAUAAAAAAACGUAUGGUUUU
Long non-coding RNA from Oncorhynchus masou masou (cherry salmon), 2476 nucleotides. RefSeq lists it as uncharacterized. Lineage: Eukaryota; Metazoa; Chordata; Actinopteri; Salmoniformes; Salmonidae. The record is from RefSeq and is a predicted model, not a curated record. The transcript has 2 exons.